Molecule: non-coding RNA, 24 nt
Filed under: Arabidopsis thaliana (thale cress)
Lineage: Eukaryota; Viridiplantae; Streptophyta; Magnoliopsida; Brassicales; Brassicaceae
Source: RNAcentral
CUAUAUCUACCUUUUAGAGCGUGC